UACGUAGGGCGCAAGCGUUAUCCGGAAUUAUUGGGCGUAAAGGGCUCGUAGGCGGUUCGUCACGUCGGGAGUGAAAUCCUGGGGCUUAACCCCAGAACUGCUUCCGAUACGGGCAGACUAGAGGUAGGCAGGGGAGAAUGGAACUCCUGGUGUAGCGGUGGAAUGCGCAGAUAUCAGGAGGAACACCAGUGGCGAAGGCGGUUCUCUGGGCCUUACCUGACGCUGAGGAGCGAAAGCGUGGGGAGCAAACAGG
RNAcentral lists this ribosomal RNA (253 nucleotides) under uncultured bacterium. RNAcentral describes it as "partial 16S ribosomal RNA". It matches the Rfam family "Bacterial small subunit ribosomal RNA", at positions 524 to 776 of the family's 1533-position model. The record is from RNAcentral.